This 459-nucleotide ribosomal RNA is filed under the name uncultured bacterium. Its description in RNAcentral is "partial 16S ribosomal RNA". It matches the Rfam family "Bacterial small subunit ribosomal RNA", at positions 338 to 795 of the family's 1533-position model. The record is from RNAcentral.
CCUACGGGAGGCAGCAGUGAGGAAUAUUUGUCAAUGGACGAGAGUCUGAACCAGCCAAGUAGCGUGAAGGAUGACUGCCCUAUGGGUUAUAAACUUCUUUUAUAUGGGAAUAAAACGUUCCACGUGUGGGAUUUUGUAUGUACCAUAUGAAUAAGGAUCGGCGAACUCCGUUCCAGCAGCCGCGGUAAUACGGAGGAUCCGAGCGUUAUCCGGAUUUAUUGGGUUUAUAGGUAGCGUCGUUUGUUUGUUAAGUCAGUGGUCAAAUUGAGAGGCUCAACCUCUUCGAGCCGUUGAAACUGGUUGUCGUGAGUGAGUGAGAAGUAUGCGGAAUGCGUGGUGUAGCGGUGAAAUGCAUAGAUAUCACGCAGAACUCCGAUUGCGAAGGCAGCAUACCGGCGCUCAACUGACGCGCAUGCACGAAAGUGUGGGUAUCGAACAGGAUUAGAGACCCCGGUAGUC